AGACAGACAAACAGACACACACACACACACACACACACACACACACACACACACACACACACACAGGUCCAAGGACCCAUCAUGGUUCUCUGAUCCAGGAUCAUUUGCUGAUACCUCAAGCUAAUAGACAGCGGGGAGGAAAAGCUGGACAAACACAGCUAGGCUACCAUAGACAAGAAACUGUACACCCGGAUGUGUCCCAAAACACAGGCCAGGAAGAACAGACCCAAAGCAAAACAGGAUGAGCUAUGAACGACUGAUAACCAUUUCCAAACACAGUGAUUAAUGCACAGAUAGGAAAGUGGGAGGAAGUUAUUAGUGCUGGGCCAAAGGGUUCUGAUGAGAUUAAGCUCAGUUAGAUGCUUGCCUUACAUGAGGCCAUAGAAAACAUGCUUCUCUAAUUAGCGAGUGAUCUAACCAGAGGGGAAGUGUGCAGAUAAGCCAGUGAGAAAGGAAUCAUGGAAACUUCGCCCUUAGACGUGCUGUGAAACAAGCCAGAAGCCCUAUGGAGGCCUGGCUGAUGAGCCAGCCAUUCUGCUUUUGAAUGGAUUCAGUGAGUUGAAAUUUCUCUCCUCCUAUCAUGUCUAGAAAUAAAUCCCAACUCAAAAAUCAAAACGAACAUAUGUGACCCUCAUGUUUCAAGAAACCAAAACGAAAGGAAGACAGAAGAAGCCAUGUAGAGUGUUUCUCAAGAGCCACUUCAGUCAGUGUGCAAGCCGUGAGUGUGUACCCCUAUAGUUCUGGGAUCCAGGAAAGGCCAACAAAGUCCACCUCUCGGAUGUAAGGCAGAUCCAGGUGAGAGGGAACCUUGAGCGUCGAUCCCACUUGCUCCUGGCAGAGACUCAAGACGGAGUCUCCCUCUGAGAAAGUUUCUCGAAGAGCUGCUGGGGAACCAACAAAUGAAGUCAGAAGUUGUCUUCGGUGGCCCCUUGAGCAGAUGUCAGCAGAGAGAUGCUUCACUGGAGGCCAUGCUAGGCCACUCCAUCUCGCUAGAGAAAGCAAGAGGAAACGCCCUGAUUCUACAAACCAAGAGUUCAAGUGAGCAGUUGUGAUAUAGAGAACAUCACCUAAGCAACUGGCCUGAAGCAUCCCCUUUCCUCUCACCCAUGAAGUCCCUUCUGUCCUCACAUGCCCCACUUUACUAUCUAGACUAGAAGAGUAUGCACAGCAACCUGCAGGACACAAGCUUGGGGUCAUCAUGAGUGGCUACACUGCUGUAUCAUAACCCACUAUCCAUCUAAUGUGUGGGGGUCACUGCUUCAACACGAGGAGUCGCAAGACAGGAUGAGUGACUCACACAAGCCAGCGAACAUCGAUGCACUUCUCCAGUAAGUGAGAUGAAUCCACCUGUAUCCUGCCAUGAAGUAAAGAAAGCAGUGCAGAGUCCUGGAACAAAAUGACCUGCCUCAGACAACGACUGAACGAUCUCUUCAGAACACAUUCUCCCCUCCAUCCUUCCCUCCCUCCCUUCUUCCUUUCAGAACAACCAUUUCUACCAGCCCCACAUCAAACCCGCCCUAGAGGACUGGAAUCAGCUACCCCUCAGACUUGCAACAUACUUAAGUUGGGGUUCCCCUAAUGUGCUUCUUUCAAGGGUAAAAUGUUGGCUAUUUGAGGUUAAGAGGGUGAAGAAAUUCACCGUACAUGUCUGAAAAGCUAGCUGUGCUAAGCAAGACCACAUGGUGGCAGAUCCACGUAUCUGAAGAUGUGAAAGGAAAGGACCAUACCGGGACUGAGUAAGGACUGAGGCCCUACCACAAUGAGCCUUACUCACCUGUAGCAUGCCCUGUUCUAGAGAGCUUCUAGAAGGUUCUUCCUGGUAAUGACUGCAUAAGGCUGAGAUAGAGAAGGAUCUAGACAUAAUAUGAAAAGCAGCCAUAAGAAUGAAUGUGUGUGAGAGAUAAAUAUAUAGGUAGAUGAUAGAUGACAAAUGAUAGAUAGAUAGAUACAUAGGUAGAUGAUAGAUAAAUAGAAAGACAGAUGAUAGAUUAUAAAUAGAUGAUCAAAAGAUGGAUAGAUACAUAAGUAGAAAGAUAGAUGAUAGAUAGAUAGAUAGAUAGAUAGAUAGAUAGAUAGAUAGAUGAUAGAUGGAUUACAGAUAGACAGGUAUGUGUGUAAUUUUGAGAGUAGAUGUAACAUAAAUGUCUUUAUGAGGUCAGCAUCUUAAUGGUACAUAUAACUAGGAUCAAGGACUAGAAAAGUCCCAUGUAGACUACCAAGCCACUGAUGAAAACCAAGGUUUACAGAAGAAGUGGAAACUAAAGCAAAGGAGUCAUUUACACAUGGGAAGGAGACCUCCCCAUGUAUUCCAUGUGCUCACAGCCUUCCUCAAAGGCAGGGAGUGACCUACUAAGGGCAGAAUAAACAAAUGAGCAUCUAUCUCAGGGCUAGGACCUUCCUGGUUCUUUUCGGAAGGCCAUCCUUCACCAGCCAUCCCUGGUCUGCUGUGGCCUCAGCUCUCCUCCUCCCUUAAGAACAAAGCUUUCAGCACUCCAUCCUCUGUCCUCCUCUCCUCAGCCAUCUCUCCCUUCUUCUCUCUGCUCUCCAAGUGGAUGACCUGGCCCACAUUGCUGCUGCACAUGGCAAGGCAUCUGAGUUUGCUGCAUCGGUGACACCCAAUCCAUCUGUGAAAACAGACACUGUCUUCUCCAUGGCAGGUGUCUGUAGCUCAGUGUCCUUCACAGUUCUUCCGUGUCCCUGUUCUCUGCCCUGGCCCUCACUUUCUCAUGCAUUCCUGGGAAUGAUUAUCUCCAGGCAACACCUUUGAAAUGUCAGCACAGACCUCUUCCCACCUGGCAUUGUCUAAUCCCACCCAGGCACCCUGUCUGAUGCCUCAGACGCAUCUCAAGUGUUACUCGUGCAAAGGAAGCCAGGGAGCUCCAGUACAAUCCUGCUACAUGGUCACACACUCACAUGAACACAUGCGUUCUGAUGCACACUUAUGUGUACAUAGGCACAGAGAAGCACACAGUCACAUAGGCAGGUACACACUGAGAAACACAGAUACACAGACACACAUACCCACACAGAUACACAUGAACAGACAGACGCACAUAGACAGAGACACAGACACACAGACAGAUACAGACAGACACAUAAUGACACAUACACACACACACUCACGCAGACAGACACACACAGACACACACACAUAAAGACACACAAAACAGACAGACAGACACAGUCUCUCUCUCUCUCUCUCUCUCUCUCUCUCUCUCUCUCUCUCUCUCUCUCCCCCUACCUUCAUUUGCUUUGUUUUUGCACAUGCAAUUCUAUUUUUCCAUGGCUCCGAUGUAAAUCCUAAGAGUGUGCCUUGGCCUCUCCUCCCAGUCACAUUUCAUACCUAAUCCUUCAGGAAAUCACGUUGGCUCUGCAUUCAGUUCAUUUCCAGAACUGACCUCACCAGCUCCAUGUCAGCCUGAGCCCCUUCAGGUCACAUAGAGAUUGUUGCAGUGGACUUCUCCUGGCCCUAGUGUGAGAGAAGGCCAUUCUUCUGGAACACAAGCCAGCAUUCCCAACUGAGGAGGCCAUUCUUAAAAACAUCAGCAAACUCAGUUUAGCCCACCUGUAAGUCCACACUGAUCUCGAGUCCUAAAGAUGGCUUUCAACGCCUUGACCAGGCUGGUCCUUCGAUGCUCUCAUGGAGUCUGUCCCCUGUUACCUAUGAGACUUCACCAGAACAGAAGCGACCCAUCCCCCUGCCCCUCUGCAGUCUCUCCCAAUACCACAUUACAAGAAGAUGCAAUUCCUUUACCUUUUUAUCUCGAGGCCACCCUGCCCUGCAGCUCACUCUCUCUGAGUCAUUCUUCAUCAUUUGAAAGACCCAUCGAAGUUCUCAUCGCCAGGGUCAGCAUUCCUGGACUUCUGGAUUGGGUGUCAAGUCUCACAGCAGGAGAUGAUCGUUGUCUGAAGUUAUGUGUCUGAUUUGCAGAAAGCAGCAGGAACUCGGAUAAGGAGGGAGGAGCACUCCAGAUAAUCCGAAGAAAACAAACAUGCAUGAAUUGUUGCCUGUUGAUCAUUCCAAGAUUCUAGAACAGGACUUUGGGUUGCUAUGAGCAGCCCUCCCACAUGGGUGACAACCAAAUGUGCCUGAGUCCACUGGCCCAGUGUCCCCAGGAGGCAAUGUCAUCCCCAACCGAGAAGCACUGACAUUGGGACUGGGUGACUCUCCUUGUCACGAAAGGAGCAAAAGAGAGGCAGAACUUCCUUCCUGGGAUGCAAAUCCAGAAAGGCUGGCUUUAGUACAAUCCAGUGCGCGCCCCCAUUUUGGCAACAUUAAAAGCAAAACAAAAUGCCUGCUGGCAUUGUACAUUUUCAACAUAGCUUAUGCCUCAAGUGCACCAGAUCCAGAUGGACACCACUCUGCUACGGGAAACUCCACGGUUAUGUGCCACCCCUCACUUCUUGACAGGGCUGGAAAGGGUCCUACUGCUUCCCAGUGAUGUGCACAAGAGUUCCGAGUGGCGGUAAGCAGCUACCUUCUGUGGCUUUCCAUGCACAGCGAGUGUCAAGUUCUGUUCCAGAUCACAGUUGCCAACUCAGCGCUGCUCGCUGCUCCAGUGACGACGAUGUGCUUGGUGGCAUCAGUCGAGCGCCAUACUUCACGAGAAGCUUUAUUAAAGACAUUUAUUUUAAAUAAUAAGGUGGAUGAGUUAUUCCGAGCAACCGUGGUUUUGAAGUAUUAUAAGUGCGUACUAAAAAUUUAAUAGACCAUAGCCAGAACUUUGAUUGGUGGAAAAUUUGUCAUCAACGGAACAGAAUUAGUAAUUCCCAAUGAACCUUCUGAGAUAGCCUGCAGCCAUCGGCAAUUUGCAGAGGUUGAGAGAAUUUUUUAAAUUAUUAUUACUAUUGUAAAUAAUUGAUUAUCGUUUAUUAUGAAAUAAUUACCUUUAAGCAAUUACCACAGCUAACAAGUGAUUGCUUAGACAUUAUUGCUUAAUCACUACUCAACAACCACGUGCAUAUGGCCUACGACAGCCAUUGUUCAUUAUUAUUUUUUACGAGCACAGAUGGCUUGGUACAAUCAGUCAGGAAGACUGACGGGAAGUAAUCUUUUUUAAUGUAAUCACCACAUAAAUAUGUCAAAUGUUUUUCUGUUUGUUUUGCUAACGGCAUAACACGAUUUUAAUGAAGAUGCCAUGGCUGGCGGUUUUUCCGUCUAACUAGACAAAAGCAAAAUACGUAGCCGAGCUAUUUAUAAAGAUUUAUUAUAAGGUAUUUAUAUCACAGACACUCAUCCCAUUGGCACGUCUGACCUUGGUUUAAUCUCAGAUGAAAAAUGCAUAAAAAUUGUUUUGCCCCAGUGAUGGUUCAUGGUACGCUGAUGUGGAUGGUCCAUUCGAUAUAGUAUGCAGAUGGGUUAUGGAUACGUGUGUCUAGUUCCAGAAAGGCUGAUCAGAAGACAAGAGGACAGUGGGAUGUUGGCUAGUGCAGGAGAUAAUCUGCUCACUAGAGUUGACCCUGCAAACAACCCAUUUCUAAAAUGCUUAACUGAAACUGAUGGCGUCAAUCAAUAUCCAAGCCGUAGCACGUGAGGCUAUUUAAUCUGAAUAAAGGACAAGCAAAUGCAACUUGAAGCUUGAACUCUGGUCACAGAAGUCAGAGCUCACGUUCUCAGGGGUCAGCUUAGCUGCUUGCAGCUGCGUGCUGCCGUGCAGGCGGGGUUGUUUCCAUCACCUCAGACGCACAUUGGAUGGUUCACAGCAGCCAUGCUCUACACUUUCUUAGACUCGAAGGGUCUGGAUGGGUUUAAGAACUUGAUAAUUUUAAGUGACAAAUGAGAGAAACUGUUGGUUGGAGAAGAAUGGAGACCUUCUUUGUUUGGGGAUGUACAAUUAGAGCCGGAAUUCUAAAGCACAGAAUAGCCUGGAGCACCAUCAGGCCCUGCCUUUAUUAAUUAUUACUGAAGGUAAAAUGAUUAAUAGUCCUGGUUGUUCCUUUGUGCCUGGCACUCUGCUGUUUUCGUAAACGGUCCCUG
This is a non-coding RNA of Rattus norvegicus (Norway rat), 5977 nucleotides long. The record is from RefSeq and is a predicted model, not a curated record. NCBI's taxonomy places the organism in Eukaryota, Metazoa, Chordata, Mammalia, Rodentia, Muridae.